UACGGAGGGUGCAAGCGUUGCUCGGAAUUAUUGGGCGUAAAGGGUAGGUAGGUGGUCUUAUUUGUCUGGGGUGAAAGCCUUGAGCUUAACUCAAGAAGUGCCCCAGAAACGGUAAGACUAGAGUCCUAGAGAGGGUCGUGGAAUUCCCGGUGUAGCGGUGAAAUGCGUAGAGAUCGGGAGGAACACCAGAGGCGAAGGCGGCGACCUGGAUAGGUACUGACACUCAACUACGAAAGCGUGGGGAGCAAACAGGG
RNAcentral lists this ribosomal RNA (254 nucleotides) under uncultured bacterium. RNAcentral describes it as "partial 16S ribosomal RNA". It matches the Rfam family "Bacterial small subunit ribosomal RNA", at positions 524 to 777 of the family's 1533-position model. The record is from RNAcentral.